Psammomys obesus (fat sand rat) is the source of this 143-nucleotide small nucleolar RNA. RefSeq annotates it as small nucleolar RNA SNORA48. NCBI's taxonomy places the organism in Eukaryota, Metazoa, Chordata, Mammalia, Rodentia, Muridae. The record is from RefSeq and is a predicted model, not a curated record. The transcript has a single exon.
UACCCCUGCGCAAUGGCAAAGAGAAACUUUGGUGGUGGUGGUGUUCUUACAUUGGUCAGGGGCAGAGCAGAUGGCAGUUCUUUGUUCAUCUAGCUUGAUGCCUGGCUUGGUGGCCAAAGCUGUUUUAUGCCUAGGACACAUAA